AGAAGUAUCUGCUUUACAAAUCUCAUUGUUUUUCAUAAUGAUGAACUGGGCUUUGGAGUAUAUGUACUAAAAGAACAUUUUGCUUCCAUAGACAAGGAUGCUGUGCAUCCCCCUUUUUUUG
This is a non-coding RNA of Podarcis lilfordi (Lilford's wall lizard), 121 nucleotides long. The record is from the annotation of a GenBank genome assembly. NCBI's taxonomy places the organism in Eukaryota, Metazoa, Chordata, Lepidosauria, Squamata, Lacertidae.